UACGGAGGGUGCAAGCGUUAAUCGGAAUUACUGGGCGUAAAGCGCGCGUAGGCGGUUUGGUCAGUCAGAUGUGAAAGCCCCGGGCUUAACCUGGGAAUUGCAUUUGAUACUGCCAGGCUAGAGUACAGUAGAGGGGGGUAGAAUUCCGGGUGUAGCGGUGAAAUGCGUAGAUAUCCGGAGGAAUACCAGUGGCGAAGGCGGCCCCCUGGACUGAUACUGACGCUGAGGUGCGAAAGCGUGGGGAGCAAACAGG
Molecule: ribosomal RNA, 253 nt
Filed under: uncultured bacterium
Lineage: Bacteria
Description: partial 16S ribosomal RNA
Rfam family: Bacterial small subunit ribosomal RNA
Source: RNAcentral